AGUUGUUCUGGAUUGGCGUUGCAUGGCGGGCUCCCGGUGUUUCGGCAUCGCUAACCGUUGUGGCGCGGUCUUUUCAGCAUGCCUCCUGUUGUGCCCGCGCGGCUCGGGAGGAUCAAUUGUUUAUUGGUCGUCUGUGUGGAUCUACCCUAGUGCGGAACGAUGUUUGGUUCCAUCAUGGUUUUUUGUUCGCCCCGUUGAUAUUCGUUAUCAUCGGUGCGACUGCGUUGUGGGCUUAAUUCAUGUGUUGUUGAGGGCGAGGGCCUCGUUGGUGCAUUUGGAUUUUGUCGGCUCUCACGGAUGCUGUACCGUUUGCGGAAGUCGUGGGCUUUUGGACCCCCGAUUUUCACGGGAUGUCCCUUGCGUUGGAUCAUUGCUCCGUCGCUACGCGAUCUUGUUGUGGGUGUUGGUAUGUCGGCACGGUGCGUGCGGGGCGUGCUCUUGUGCAAGUGAGAUGUUUGUCCGUCUGAAAGAGCGAUUGCCGCUCUCGCAUCAUUCCAUAAUGAUGUGGCGGCUCUUGUUUAUGACGUGCUACCUGGUUGAUCCUGCCAGUAGUCA
Molecule: unclassified non-coding RNA, 555 nt
Filed under: Ammothryon grandiflorum
Lineage: Eukaryota; Viridiplantae; Streptophyta; Magnoliopsida; Poales; Cyperaceae
Description: partial external transcribed spacer 1
Source: RNAcentral